UUUGUAACAGCUGGGGUAUUAAUAUCAGACAAGUCUUGGAAGCUCAACGGUGCGUUUACUGCUGCGGACAGUUUUACCUCAAACACAGAAGGAAACAGGACGAAACAAUGGUGUGACUGCUGAUUAAAGCUACCAUCUACGUGGUGAGGAAGAUCCGGGCUUCCAUUGCUGAGGGAGAGCAACUGGAAAAGCCCAUCAUUACACCAUGUAGUGCAUUAGCUGAAGGGAAGGCGGGGAAUGGAGUACCUGCUGCACUAACCUCAGGACCUGGUGAUGGUGUCGGUGGAGCAGCAGGCUCUGGGAUGUCCUCGGAGACAGCUGUGCAAAAGUGUGGCUCCUGACGUUAAAGAUUAGGCUGGACACUGGAACUGUGGUCUACUCAGUGGCAAAAUUGAAUUUGUUACAUGUGUAUUGUUGCAGCAAAAGGCAAUAAUUUACUUUCAAGGAUGAUUUCUAACCAUCUGUAUGAAACGGUUGACAUUAAUUAUGUCUAUACAAAAGUUUACAAACACAGUUUUGGAAUACGAAGAAUAUUAUCUCAGCACUUUCCAGUGGCCAUGCCCAGCUCAGGAUGACUCAUGUGUAGGCCUUUUUCACAGUCGACAUUUUGACUUACCUCUGCAGCAAAAAAGGGCAACUAAUAAUAAUAAGUAAUGACUUUUUAAAUUGUAGUUUUGCGGGUGAUUUACAUUGCAAAAUACCACAGGGCCUUGCUUUUACAUAUAUGAAUGCCAUACAGAUAUUUAUGCCAUUAAGCGUUUGUGUGGUUAGUCAACAUGGUCUCUGUGAAAAAGGCCUAAAUUUAUAAACUGCAGUGUUUGAAGUUCUCCUCACAAACCUCUCUUCAGGGGCUGAGCAGGCCUGAUGUUUCUGCAGUUACAUCAAUAAAUGAUUUUAAAAAAA
This is a long non-coding RNA of Stegastes partitus (bicolor damselfish), 903 nucleotides long. RefSeq lists it as uncharacterized. Lineage: Eukaryota; Metazoa; Chordata; Actinopteri; Pomacentridae. The transcript has 3 exons. The record is from RefSeq and is a predicted model, not a curated record.